GACGAACGCUGGCGGCGUGCCUAAUACAUGCCAGUUGAGCGCUGAAGGUUGGUACUUGUACCAACUGGAUGAGCAGCGAACGGGUGAGUAACGCGUGGGGAAUCUGCCUUUGAGCGGGGGACAACAUUUGGAAACGAAUGCUAAUACCGCAUAAAAACUUUAAACACAAGUUUUAAGUUUGAAAGAUGCAAUUGCAUCACUCAAAGAUGAUCCCGCGUUGUAUUAGCUAGUUGGUGAGGUAAAGGCUCACCAAGGCGAUGAUACAUAGCCGACCUGAUAGGGUGAUCGGACACAUUGGGAAAGAGAAACGGCCCAAACUACUACGGGAGGCAGCAGUAGGGAAUCUUCGGCAAUGGACGAAAGUCUGACCGAGCAACGCCGCGUGAGUGAAGAAGGUUAUAGGAUCGUAAAACUCUGUUGGUAGAGAAGAACGUUGGUGAGAGUGGAAAGCUCAUCAAGUGACGGUAACUACCCAGAAAGGGACGGCUAACUACGUG
This 497-nucleotide ribosomal RNA is filed under the name uncultured bacterium. RNAcentral describes it as "partial 16S ribosomal RNA". It matches the Rfam family "Bacterial small subunit ribosomal RNA", at positions 28 to 507 of the family's 1533-position model. The record is from RNAcentral.